Molecule: ribosomal RNA, 159 nt
Filed under: uncultured Bacteroidota bacterium
Lineage: Bacteria; Pseudomonadati; Bacteroidota
Description: uncultured Bacteroidetes bacterium partial 16S ribosomal RNA
Rfam family: Bacterial small subunit ribosomal RNA
Source: RNAcentral
ACUCGUACGGGCGGCAGCAGUAAUGAAUAUUGGUCAACGGAGGCAACUCUGAACCAGCCAUGCCGCGUGCAGGAAGACGGCCCUAUGGGUUGUAAACUGCUUUGGACGGGAGAAAACCCUUUCCCGUGGAGCGCUGCUGUCCGACAUACCAGUCAGAAA